UGGGGAAUAUUGCACAAUGGGCGAAAGCCUGAUGCAGCGACGCCGCGUGAGGGAUGACGGCCUUCGGGUUGUAAACCUCUUUCAGCAGGGAAGAAGCGCAAGUGACGGUACCUGCAGAAGAAGCACCGGCUAACUACGUGCCAGCAGCCGCGGUAAUACGUAGGGUGCGAGCGUUGUCCGGAAUUAUUGGGCGUAAAGAGCUCGUAGGCGGCCUGUCGCGUCGGAUGUGAAAGCCCGGGGCUUAACCCCGGGUCUGCAUUCGAUACGGGCAGGCUAGAGUGUGGUAGGGGAGAUCGGAAUUCCUGGUGUAGCGGUGAAAUGCGCAGAUAUCAGGAGGAACACCGGUGGCGAAGGCGGAUCUCUGGGCCAUUACUGACGCUGAGGAGCGAAAGCGUGGGGAGCGAACAG
This 408-nucleotide ribosomal RNA is filed under the name Streptomyces sp. enrichment culture clone pm1. RNAcentral's name for it is "bacterial SSU rRNA". It matches the Rfam family "Bacterial small subunit ribosomal RNA", at positions 355 to 775 of the family's 1533-position model. The record is from RNAcentral. Lineage: Bacteria; Bacillati; Actinomycetota; Actinomycetes; Kitasatosporales; Streptomycetaceae.